UGUUAAAAGUUUCAUUUAUUUGUAACAUUAAAAACUGGCAUGCCUGACGGAAUAACUAGACAAUGCAAUGUGGGGUGCCAAGUGUACGUUAUGCUGUCGUACAAAAACCAGUUUUUUUAGAAAUAGAUGGAAUUUUUUAUA
RNAcentral lists this microRNA precursor (141 nucleotides) under Gossypium arboreum. RNAcentral's name for it is "MIR7502 microRNA precursor family". It matches the Rfam family "MIR7502 microRNA precursor family". Lineage: Eukaryota; Viridiplantae; Streptophyta; Magnoliopsida; Malvales; Malvaceae. The record is from Rfam by way of RNAcentral.